AUCAAACUUUUUGUUUGAACCAGUAUGCAUGGACGAUCUAAUAAGUGACUGCUCAUCUUUCCACUGAUGAUAGCCUGUUUUGGGUGGGUGCUUAACUUUUACAAAUAGAGUAAAUAAACUCUUUUAACUUAUUCUUGGUAAUUACCAUGCGGACCAUACAGUGGCAUUGUGUAUGUAUGAAUUUUACUCCUGUGCACACCACUGGUCAUAAUAACUGACAGAUAUGCUGGACUGAUUUGUUGAGACUAGCUAGUGUAGAAAAUUCAAGAAAACAGCAGUGGCUAACAUAUAUAUAGACAUAAUUUGUUCUCACCUGUCACUCCUACAACCUGUUUAAUUUGACUACACAAACCUGCAGUGGUGCUUAAACGUGGAAUCAUCUCCCCUAGCUUACACUACUACAUAAUUCUUUUACCGAGGUGGCAAAAUCACUUUACCAAGGCGAGCAAAUCGAACGCCUCGAAGGAAAGGUCACCAUUAAUCAAUGUUAACCGAGACGGUCCUAAUGCCCGCUACAGUAAAUCAAUCGGGUAAAACAAAAAAAAUAAAAAUCUAGAUAAGCCCGCUGAGUCCAUCCACGGCCCACCGAGCCCAUCCCUGGCCGCUGGAUCCGCAGUGCGUGCCGCCGCUCAUUGGGGCCGUCCUCCACCAAAUCAACCAUGUCGACGCCACCAGAUCCGCUCAUCAGGCCGCCCAUCAUCGGAUCUGCUUGUCAUGUCCUCCACGAGUGCCACUGAAGCUAGAUCCACCUCCUCCAAGCACCUCGUCGCCGCCGGGAGAGCCCUCCCCGAGCACCACUGCAAUCAGAUCCGCCUCCCCAAACACCGUCGUGACCGAGAGAGGCCUCCCUGAGCGCCGUAGCCGC
Molecule: long non-coding RNA, 865 nt
Filed under: Sorghum bicolor (sorghum)
Lineage: Eukaryota; Viridiplantae; Streptophyta; Magnoliopsida; Poales; Poaceae
Description: long non-coding RNA (SBIC_LNC003549)
Source: RNAcentral